RNAcentral lists this ribosomal RNA (252 nucleotides) under uncultured bacterium. Its description in RNAcentral is "partial 16S ribosomal RNA". It matches the Rfam family "Bacterial small subunit ribosomal RNA", at positions 524 to 776 of the family's 1533-position model. The record is from RNAcentral.
GACGAAGGUGGCUAGCGUUAUUCGGAUUUACUGGGCAUAAAGCGCGCGUAGGCGGCUUGGCAAGUCGGAGGUGAAAGCCUGCAGCUCAACUGCGGUGUGCCUCCGAAACUGUCGAGCUUGAGUGCGGGAGGGGUGAUUGGAACUCCUGGUGUAGCGGUGAAAUGCGCAGAUAUCAGGAGGAACACCAAUGGCGAAGGCAGCUCGCUGGGACGGUACUGACGCUGAGACGCGAAAGCGUGGGGAGCAAACAGG